Sorex fumeus (smoky shrew) is the source of this 107-nucleotide small nuclear RNA. Lineage: Eukaryota; Metazoa; Chordata; Mammalia; Eulipotyphla; Soricidae. The record is from RefSeq and is a predicted model, not a curated record.
GUGCUUGUUUCGGCAGCGCAUAAGCUAAAAUUGGAAUGAUACAGGGAAGAUUAGCAUAGCCCCUAUGGAAGAAUGACAUGCAAAUUUGUGAAGCAUUUCAUAUUUUU